GACGAACGCUGGCGGCGUGCUUAACACAUGCAAGUCGAGCGGUAAGGCCCUUUCGGGGGUACACGAGCGGCGAACGGGUGAGUAACACGUGGGUGACCUGCCCUCAGCUCUGGGAUAAGCCUGGGAAACCGGGUCUAAUACCGGAUAUGACUCCAUGACGCAUGUUGUGGGGUGGAAAGCCUUGUGCGGCUGAGGAUGGGCCCGCGGCCUAUCAGCUUGUUGGUGGGGUGAUGGCCUACCAAGGCGACGACGGGUAGCCGGCCUGAGAGGGCGACCGGCCACACUGGGACUGAGACACGGCCCAGACUCCUACGGGAGGCAGCAGUGGGGAAUCUUGCGCAAUGGGCGAAAGCCUGACGCAGCGACGCCGCGUGAGGGAU
RNAcentral lists this ribosomal RNA (380 nucleotides) under uncultured bacterium. RNAcentral's name for it is "bacterial SSU rRNA". It matches the Rfam family "Bacterial small subunit ribosomal RNA", at positions 28 to 409 of the family's 1533-position model. The record is from RNAcentral.